GCGUCUGUAGCCUAGUUGGUAAAGGCAGCACUCUAGUAAUGUUGAGGUCAUGGGUUCGACCCCCAUCAGACACA
RNAcentral lists this transfer RNA (74 nucleotides) under Uromyces viciae-fabae. Its description in RNAcentral is "tRNA-Thr (AGT) (tRNA-Thr-AGT-8-1)". It matches the Rfam family "tRNA". Rfam says of the family: Transfer RNA (tRNA) molecules are approximately 80 nucleotides in length. Their secondary structure includes four short double-helical elements and three loops (D, anti-codon, and T loops). The record is from RNAcentral. Lineage: Eukaryota; Fungi; Basidiomycota; Pucciniomycetes; Pucciniales; Pucciniaceae.